This is a non-coding RNA of Mesorhizobium huakuii 7653R, 67 nucleotides long. The record is from Rfam. NCBI's taxonomy places the organism in Bacteria, Pseudomonadati, Pseudomonadota, Alphaproteobacteria, Hyphomicrobiales, Phyllobacteriaceae.
UAGGCAUGCUGGAGCCCUGCCAGCGGCGCCUGGGUCCGUAAGAGGCCCGACACCGGACGGGGCAGAA